RNAcentral lists this ribosomal RNA (253 nucleotides) under uncultured bacterium. RNAcentral's name for it is "partial 16S ribosomal RNA". It matches the Rfam family "Bacterial small subunit ribosomal RNA", at positions 524 to 776 of the family's 1533-position model. The record is from RNAcentral.
UACGUAGGCAGCGAGCGUUGUUCGGAAUUACUGGGCGUAAAGAGUGUGUAGGCGGCGCUCUAAGUUCGGUGUGAAAUCUCUCGGCUUAACUGGGAGGGUGCGCCGGAAACUGGAGUGCUCGAACGUGGGAGAGGAAAGCGGAAUUCCUGGUGUAGCGGUGAAAUGCGUAGAUAUCGUAAGGAAGACCAGUGGCGAAGGCGGGUCUCUGGACAGUUCCUGACGCUGAGGCACGAAGGUCAGGGGAGCAAACGGG